CCAUUUCUUGGGCUGCUCCCGCAGCAUAUGGAGAUUCCCAGGCUAGGGGUCAAAGCGGAGCUGUAGCCACCAGCCUACGCCAGAGCCACAGCAACACAGGAUCCAAUCCUCGUCCGCCAGAUCCUUAACCCACUGAGCAAGGCCAGGGGUAGAACCCGCAACCUCGUGGUUCCUAGUCAGAUUCGUUAACCACUGAGCCAAAAUCUCAAUCUUCUUGAACAGUUCUAGAUCAUAGAAAAAGGACAGCUUUAAGAUUAUUGUUAUAAAACUAUAAUACGAAAAACUAUGAUACUAAAAACCAUCAUGAUCACAUAAAGAAUUAUAAAGUACACACACUUAUGACUAUAGAGGCAAAACUCUAAAUAAAAUAUUAGCAGAUACAUUCCAUCAGGAAUUCAAUUCGAUCCACUAUAAAAAAAUCUUAUAACUCAUAGUAGUUGACUGAAAGAGAAAUAUCUUGUUAUUGUCUCCAUAAAUGCUGAAAAAUAACUUAAUAAAUUCCACAUCCAGUCUUAAUAAAAAAUGAAAGUUCAGAUUUUAAAAUAGGGAUAAAUGGAUUCUUCCUAAACAUGGUAACGUUGGUCAGGACACUGAUCAAAAGGAAAAUGUUUAAAAAUAUUUAUUUAGGAAUAAGACAAAGACCCUUCACUAUCACUAAUAGUACAUGACAACAGAAUGAACAAAAAAAAAUAUGUAAUCAGCAUAAAUACUGGGCAGGAAACAGAAAAAAAUGAUCACUUUUUAGAUAAUAUAUACAUGUAGAAAAUUCCAGAGAUUCACCUAAGAAAACUAUUCUAACUAAUAAGACAAGUUGGUGUAGUCACAGGGGAAAAAUUAAUGUACAUAAAUUAAUUGCCUGCAUGUACAUAAACAACCACCAGUUACAAGAUAUAAAAUAGAGUAAAAUGCCCCAUAUUUAAUAAUAGCAUAACAAUAACACCUGAGAGAAUAAUUAAUGAAGAAAAUACAAAAUCUUUAUGAGAGUACUUCAUCAUAUAAAAGAUAAAAAUAAGGAAAACAAAACAAAUGGAAAGAAGGAUUCAAGAAAAGUUAAAUCAUGUACUUGUAAAACAAACAAAUUAGUGAAUAUAAUAUAAAAGAAACAGACUUGUAACAGAGAAAAACAAAUGACUCCCUUUUGAAUUUAUUCUUUUAGCUCUAACCUUUGUGCUCUGUUGUUUGUGUUGUCAUGCUGACUUACACCUCUGUAAAGAAAUAAAUGUUUCCUAUAUCCUGUAAUAUACAGGGGAGCCCAUUCUCAAGCCUCAGAUCUUUAAAGGUGUACCACCUUCCCAUUCAUAUAGAGGUAAAAAGUUGCAGAACAGGAAAAAUAACAAUUGUCUUGGAAGUUUACAGGAAAUGUGUGACUAGACCCAUGUGGACAGCUGCAAGAACAAAGGACAAAGGAUUCCAGUACCAAGAAGUUUGCAAUAAUAAGCCACACCCCCUCCUCUUUUACUGUAAAAGAAGCCUGAAUUCCAACUUAAGUAAGAUGGUGCUUUAGGACAAUAGUCCACCAUCUUUUUGGUCUUCUUGUUUUCCAAAUAAAGUUGCUAUUCCUUGCCCCAUUACCUCAUCUCUUGAUUUACUGGCCUGUUGUGCCGCUCCUGGGUGGUAUAAGCUUGGGUAACAGAUUCACAGAUAGAGAACAAACAAGUAGUUACCUUUGGGGGGGAAGGAAGUGAGGAGGGGCAAAGUAGGGGAUUAAGAGGUAAAAACUAGUAUGUAUAUAAUAGUCUAUAAGGAUAUACUGUACAACACAGGCCAUAUGACCAGUAUUUUAUAAUAACUAAAUGGAAUGUAGCCUUAAAAAUUGUGAAUCACUAUGUUGUACACCUAAAACUUAUUUAAUAUUGUACAGUGACUAUACCCAAUUUAAAAAAAUCAUAAGCUUGUGUCAGAAGAUCUCUCAUCACGUAUAUGAAGCCUCCCUAAAUUAAUAAUUCAACACCAUCUCAAUAACAAAUGGCACCAUGAUUCUUUUGGAAAGUGAACACAGUGUUUACGAUGUGCCUUUAAAAAUAAAAAAGUAAGACUAGCCAAAUGCUGAAAUGUAUUAUGACCCUACCAGGUAUCAAAACACACUAUAAAGAUGCUAUAAUUAACACAGUGCGGUGAUGUAGGAUGGCAAUGCAGGCGCAGACAGAACAAUGGAAGAGGACUAACAGUCCAGAUGUAGAUACAGAGGUACAAGGUAGUGUAGGAGAUGCUGAAAGUGGCCUCUUAAAUCAGUGAACUAUUCAACAAAUGGUAUUUGAAAAACUAAAUGGCCGUCUAGAAAAAAAUAUGAACUCUUAUUUCUAUUUCAUAUGGAUCACAAAAAUAAAUGCCAGGCUGAUGACAGAUUUAAGUGAAUAAAAUAUCAAGUCAUAAAAACAGGAGAAACAAAUGGGAGAAUUUUUUAAAUGUCAGAGUGGAGUACUUUUUUUUUUUUUUCUGUCUUUUUUCUUUUUAGGGCCGUACCCUCGACAUAUGGAGGCUCCCAGGAUAGGGGUCGAAUUGGAGCUGUAGCUGCCGGCCUACAUCAUGGCCACAGCAACGCGCAAUCUUUAACCCACUGAGCAAGGUGGGGGAUUGAACCCACAACCUCAUGGUUCCUAGUCAGAUUCAUUCUGACGGGAGCUCCCAAGAGUGGAGUACUUUAAAUUCAACCUUUAGAUCAAAUUGUAUCAGCAGAUGUCAUGUUCCAUACUUAGAGCAAGUCGCUUAGUCCUGCCAGAGUCCAUAUUAAUGUAGCUGUAAAAUGUUGUUAUGGAGACUGUCUACUGCAACCCUUGCUGGAUCCCCUCAUGUGACAUGUCCUUCUAGGCUUUUCCUUCUAAG
This 2823-nucleotide long non-coding RNA is filed under the name Sus scrofa (pig). RNAcentral's name for it is "lncRNA (ENSSSCG00040073934.1)". The record is from RNAcentral. Lineage: Eukaryota; Metazoa; Chordata; Mammalia; Artiodactyla; Suidae.